RNAcentral lists this ribosomal RNA (661 nucleotides) under uncultured bacterium. RNAcentral's name for it is "bacterial SSU rRNA". It matches the Rfam family "Bacterial small subunit ribosomal RNA", at positions 79 to 738 of the family's 1533-position model. The record is from RNAcentral.
UUUAGCAAUAGAGAUAGUGGCGCACGGGUGCGUAACGCGUAACCAACCUACCCGAAUCUGGGGGAUAGCCCGCCGAAAGGCGGAUUAAUACCGCAUAAAACGGCAGACCGGCAUCGGUUCACCGUUAAAGAUUUAUUGGAUUCGGAUGGGGUUGCGUGCCAUUAGCUAGUUGGCGGGGUAACGGCCCACCAAGGCGACGAUGGCUAGGGGAGCUGAGAGGCUGGUCCCCCACACGGGCACUGAGAUACGGGCCCGACUCCUACGGGAGGCAGCAGUAGGGAAUAUUGGGCAGUGGUCGAGAGACUGACCCAGCCAUGCCGCGUGCAGGAUGAAGGCUUUCUGAGUCGUAAACUGCUUUUACCAGGGAAGAAAAAAGGGGAUGCGUCCUCUACUGACGGUACCUGGUGAAUAAGCACCGGCUAACUCCGUGCCAGCAGCCGCGGUAAUACGGAGGGUGCAAGCGUUGUCCGGAUUCAUUGGGUUUAAAGGGUGCGUAGGCGGCUUUUUAAGUCCGGGGUGAAAGCCCGUUGCUCAACAACGGAACUGCCCCGGAAACUGGAGAGCUUGAGUACAGACGAGGGUGGCGGAAUGGACGGUGUAGCGGUGAAAUGCAUAGAUACCGUCCAGAACCCCGAUUGCGAAGGCAGCUGCCUAGACUGUA